RNAcentral lists this long non-coding RNA (267 nucleotides) under Mytilus galloprovincialis (Mediterranean mussel). The record is from RNAcentral. Lineage: Eukaryota; Metazoa; Mollusca; Bivalvia; Mytilida; Mytilidae.
GGCCGAUGCAACUGCUGGUGGAGUUUUAAUUCCCCGAGGGUAUCACCAGCCAAGUUAUCAGUACUUCUGUGUUGACUUGAUGUAUCAUUGAUAUAUUCAUAAUUAUAAAUUAAGUGGUAACAAAACUUUGUAUUUUUGAAAAACUAAGACUUUUCUACCUCAGGAAUAGAUUACCUAAGAUGUAUUUGGCAAACUUUUAGUCAUUUUUGGUCCUCAAUACUCUUUAACUUCGUACUUUAUUUGGCCUUUUUUUUACAUUUUUUCAUU